This 250-nucleotide ribosomal RNA is filed under the name uncultured bacterium. Its description in RNAcentral is "partial 16S ribosomal RNA". It matches the Rfam family "Bacterial small subunit ribosomal RNA", at positions 524 to 773 of the family's 1533-position model. The record is from RNAcentral.
CACGUAGGGGGCGAGCGUUGUUCGGAAUUAUUGGGCGUAAAGGGCAUGUAGGCGGUUUUGUAAGCCUGGCGUGAAAUCCUGCAGCUUAACUGCGGAACUGCGCUGGGAACUGCGAGACUUGAAUCACUGAGGGGGAGAUAGAAUUCCAGGUGUAGGGGUGAAAUCUGUAGAUAUCUGGAAGAAUACCGGUGGCGAAGGCGAUCUCCUGGCAGAUGAUUGACGCUGAGGUGCGAAAGCGUGGGGAGCAAAC